Molecule: ribosomal RNA, 515 nt
Filed under: uncultured bacterium
Lineage: Bacteria
Description: partial 16S ribosomal RNA
Rfam family: Bacterial small subunit ribosomal RNA
Source: RNAcentral
GAUGAACGCUGGCGGCGUGCCUAAUACAUGCAAGUCGAGCGAAUGGAUUAAGAGCUUGCUCUUAUGAAGUUAGCGGCGGACGGGUGAGUAACACGUGGGUAACCUGCCCAUAAGACUGGGAUAACUCCGGGAAACCGGGGCUAAUACCGGAUAACAUUUUGAACCGCAUGGUUUGAAAUGUAAAGGCGGCUUCGGCUGUCACUUCUGGAUGGACCCGCGUCGCAUUAGCUAGUUGGUGAGGUAACGGCUCACCAAGGCAACGAUGCGUAGCCGACCUGAGAGGGUGAUCGGCCACACUGGGACUGAGACACGGCCCAGACUCCUACGGGAGGCAGCAGUAGGGAAUCUUCCGCAAUGGACGAAAGUCUGACGGAGCAACGCCGCGUGAGUGAUGAAGGCUUUCGGGUCGUAAAACUCUGUUGUUAGGGAAGAACAAGUGCUAGUUGAAUAAGCUGGCACCUUGACGGUACCUAACCAGAAAGCCACGGCUAACUACGUGCCAGCCGCCGCCGUAA